RNAcentral lists this long non-coding RNA (3298 nucleotides) under Piliocolobus tephrosceles (Ugandan red Colobus). Its description in RNAcentral is "lncRNA (ENSPTEG00000025481.1)". The record is from RNAcentral. Lineage: Eukaryota; Metazoa; Chordata; Mammalia; Primates; Cercopithecidae.
AUGUUUCUAAUGAAUGAAAAUAAAAAAAACGAAACCAAAGAAACUUAUAACAUUAAAGAUGAAUCAAAAGAAGCUACAUUGAUUAAUGAAAUAAAUCAAAUGGAUAAUACUACUAAUGACUCAGAAAAUGCAGUUACAGUUGCAGUUGCAGCUGCAGUUACUAAAUGCGUCGAUACAAAUGCCAAUAUAAAUAAAAACGAAAAAUCUGAUAUAAAUAAAUUUAUUACUCAAGCAGACAGCAGUUUUCUUACUUCCACUACAACUCAUAUGGACCAUACGACUCAUACAACCCAUACGACUCAUACAACCCAUACGACUCAUAUGGACAUUUGCACUGAAAACCAAACCAAAUACAACACGAGAAAUAAAAAAGAAAACAAAAUAACAUGUUUAAAUAAAUUAAUUAAAGAUAAAGAAUUAUUUUUAACUAAUGAUGAAGAUGUAAUAAAUGAAAUAUAUAACAAUGUGAAUAUAAUUUAUUUCAGUAAAUAUAUAAAUGUUGUAGAAUACUAUGAAAAAUUUCGAAUAAAAUUAAAAUGUAUGAACAGUGUCAUAAAAUUUAUUGCAUCCAAAUCUAUAAUUGUUAAUGAUCAUAAUAAUAAUAAUAACGAUUUAUAUGUUGAUGAAUUUAAUUCCUUAGAAGAUUUAUAUGUAAGUACAAGAUUAAAAAUAUUAAAUAAUAAUAUUUUACCUCAAUUUUAUUCUUUCGAAACAAACGAUAUAUGUAAAUAUAUUAAAAACAUUUGUUUAUUAUCGAUAUAUAUUUCAAAAUUAGAAUUUAGUUUAUUUAUUGAAAUAUUUAAUAAUGACGUAGAUGGAUGUAUUAAUACUAUUUUAAAAGUUAUUGGUUUGUCUGUAUAUGACACUAUUAAAGAUAAUAUAUACGAAUUAAACAAUAUAAAAAUUAUAAGAAAAAUUAUUCAAAUGAUUUAUAUAGAUAUAUUAGAAACAUAUACAGAAAGUAUUUAUAAUAUAUUACGUGAUUUUUUAAAAAAAUUAUGUACCAACUUAAAAGAAAGACUUUUAUAUAUAAUAGAGUUAUACAUUUCUUAUUAUACAAAAAAUAUACAAGCUUCAAUUCCUUACGUGUGUUUCAAGCCUAUCAAAAAAAAAUUUAUCAACAUAGUAAAUGAUUUUUUAUAUCAGAAUUAUUUAGAACCAACUGGGACGACUCAUAAUGUUGACGUUGACAUAGGAGUCGGUGGUGAUAUUGAUGAAGGCGUCGAGAUUGAUGAAGGCGUCGAGAUUGAUGAAGACGUCGAGAUUGAUGAAGGCUUAGAGAUUAAUAGUGGUUCCAAGAUUAUUAGUGGUGUGAAUGGAAAUGGUAAAAAAAAAAAAAUAACCACAAAUUUGAAUACUUGUGACAUUAUUAAUGAGACUAAUAUAAAUGUAAAUAUUGACCUAAAACUGAAUAAUAAAGUAAAUGAUCAAUCACAUGAUUAUAGCACACCAAGUGAUAAUACAUCAAGUGAUAAUACAUUAAAUGAUAGUACAUCAAGUGAUAGUAUAUCGAGUGAAAAUAAUUAUAACCAACAUGAAUAUAAUAUGAAUAUAUUAAAUGAAUCUAACGUAUAUAAAUCAUUUAGUUUUUAUAAUAAUAAAUAUAAUAAAAAUACAAGUUAUAGUUUUUCUGGAAUUGAUAUAAAUAUUAUUGGUACUAUUAUUAUAUUAAAAAAUAUUAAUUUUAUAAUAGAAGAAAAUACACUACAAGAAAUUUAUAAAGAAUGCUUAGAAAACACAUUAAAUUCCAUAAUAUACAUUUAUAAACAACAUUUAAAAAUAUAUAAUAAUGAUAUGUUUAAUGGUUGCUUAUUUUUAAUCAAAAACUUAAGUUUUUUACUUUAUCUAUUUUAUAAAAUCACAAAAGAUAAACAGUUUUUUUAUUUAUACUUGGAUAAAAAACUAACAAAACACUUGUUAUUUCAACAAACUGGUUAUAUAAAAAACAAAAAUGAAAAAUUAAAAUCGAAACAUAUUGACACUAGUGGAAAUAACAAUAACUAUAACAAAAUGUUAUCAGAAAAUAAAAAUUCGAUUUUCCAUUUUUUUAAAAAAGUUUAUAAUACACCAUCAAAUAUGGAUAUGCAAAAUAAAACAUUGUUAUUAUUUAAUGAGGCCAUUUACAAUUUUACUAUAACAACUAUCGCAGCAGUUUGUUCCCCUCUUAUCAAAAUAUUGUCCACGGAAUAUAAAGAAAGCUAUUCCGAAAAAGAAGAAGAAAUAAAAAAGGCGAUAAACGAAUUUAUGAAUGUUAAAACAAGUAAUGAAAAAAAAAAUAAAAGCAAAGGUGAAAGCGAAGGUGAAAACGGAGAAGAAAAUGAAGAAGAAAACGGAGAAGAAAAUGGAGAAGAGGACAAAAAAGAAGACGAAAAAGAAGACUUCAUUUGUAUAAAUUACACUUCUUUCUCUCAUUUAAAUGAUAUAAAUUUAGAUAUAAUAAAAAAGUAUGCUCAAAAAAUAAACGAAAAUAGUUACAACAGUAACACUAGUAAUAGUAGCAAUGAAAAUAAAACUAAUAAAAAUACGACAAAUGAUGAUUUGAUAUCAACCCUUCAGACUUUUCAAAAAGAACUAUAUAGUUUAUUUCCUAGAAUUUAUUUCUAUAUAAAAAUAUUUAUUCUUACAAACGCCGAUAAAUCAAAUGGAUAUAUUUUUUUCAACAGUUUGUUUAGUUAUAUUAUUGGCAUCUUGAAGUAUAAAAUAAUUUACAUAUUAAGCGAAGUAUACAUAUUGUUAAAUUACAAAUAUCCCGAACAUGUUGGAAAUAUCUUUAAAGGAAAUUAUAUAAACGAUAUUUUAUUUUUUUUGAAAUAUAAUGAUAAUUAUUCUUGUGACUUUUCAGACGUCCAUAAAUAUUUCGAUUUAAAUAAAAAUUAUAGUUUUCUAAAUAAGUGAUCUAAUUUUUAAAACAAACGAUAUGUCUAUAUAUAUAUAUAUAUAUGUGUUUUUUUUUUUGUUUGGCAUUUCGUUUUUAUUGAUAAGAUGAUGGCAUUUAACACUCGACGCAAAAAAAAACCAAAAAAAAAAAAAGGAGAUAAUAAGGGGGUAAAAAGGGGAGGUAAAUAUAAUAUAAGAAGAAUAUAAGAAGGAGAAAAAAUAUAUGCCAGAUAAAAUGCAUAACAUAUAACGUGAUUAAAAUAGAUAAACCAUAUUAAAAAAAAAAAAAAAAAAAAAAAUUAUUUAAUUUAAUACUUAUGAAAAAUAAGUGGAAAUUGACAAAAUGUGACGGGAUGUAGUAAAUACAAUAACUAAAAUUAUACUUAAAAAUAAAUAGAGUAAAAUAGAGUAAAAUAAAGCA